Non-coding RNA from Kogia breviceps (pygmy sperm whale), 1798 nucleotides. Lineage: Eukaryota; Metazoa; Chordata; Mammalia; Artiodactyla; Physeteridae. The record is from RefSeq and is a predicted model, not a curated record.
GCCCCAGCUCUUCUGGCAGUCAUUCUCGACCCCGCACCAUCACCAGCAAGGUCGCCCACAGUCUACAGGAUAUCAUCGCAGAAUCAUACACGCCAACCGAGGCUACACUGGCAACUUCCAACUCGACCCUUUCAACUUAAAGCCCUCAGUGCCUGUGGUUAUAAACUCCUAUUUCUGUUGGAAUCUACAUCCAGACCUCUUGGUCUGGCUCAUCAGACUCUCAAGCCUAACAAUAUGCCUAACGAUAUGGAGCAGAAAGGUCCUGCUGGGUCUAGGCGUAUGUCCUCACUGUGCUGCAGACACAGAACUACCACUCCUAUGUUCAAGCUGGAAGGCAAGAUUCUUCACCCUCCUCCCAUCCACCUGGCACAGCUCGCCCUUUCCUCAGGAACCAGCCCAAACCCCAACCCCGUGGAUCCUUCUGGCACCAGGAGACCCAUGCUGGUCUCUUCUGAGAACCAGCUCCCCCCACACACCUUAGACUUGUUCUCUGGUUGUUUAGAUUUGUGUGGCUUGCCUCUCCCACUGAUUUUGAACGCCCUUGAAGCCUGAAAUAACUUUUUCCUUUUUAACAGAAAGGUGAGUGUGAAGUCAAGCGGUCCUGAUAUUUGAAUCCUAGCGAUGUGACUCUGGUUAAGCCACCUGGUAAUCUUCCGAGUGUUUCGCGUCUGUAAAACGGUUGGACGUUUGGCAUAGGAUUACAUAUAUGUGGAAAGUGCCCGCUCACGCUAAGUUUUCAAAAAAAAACGAGCUCCAUCUCCUUCUCCCAUCCCUGCAACUUGCCGAUAGCUAACAGCUCUUUGCACAAAGCAGGUUCUUCCUGAACGACGUUGGAGUAGUUUGGACCAUCGUGUGCCAAUUUAAUCUGCAGAAGUCGCUGGAUGUCUCACCACCUAAGAGGCCUCAAAGCUGCGGAUGAGAAUUACCUUGUUCAUCCUUAUACUCCCACUGCAUGUGGUGCUUUGUACGCAGAGGGUGUAAGUUGGCCUGCUGGAUCCAGAAAUGUAACGCUGCUGAAGUUCACGAAAUGGAAUAGCUCACACACUGAACGACCCACAGAAGCGCUAAUGUGCAGACACCUGAGCUGCUCCACCUCAGCCCCCCUGACCCUAGUCCAGGCUGAAAACUCCAGUGCGGCAGUCUCCCAGGGAGAGCAGGUAGGAGGGGCUCCUCCCAGCAGCAGCAGCUGGAGAACUCCAAGCGAGGUUUUGAGGACGCAGUGGCCACCUCAGCCACCGAGGAGAGGACUAACCAGAGGAGAGAAAAGGCCUACGGGAUAACGGACACCACUGGCAGGACACAGAUGCUCAGCCCUCCCUUCACCACGACUCAUGCACCUGAAUUGAGGAACGAGGGCUGGACACGUAUCGGUGUAGUGCAGGCCGCAGAGAGCACCCACAGAAUGGCACGUUCCUGCCCAGAACCCCAAAGAGCCACCACUCUGAAAAUGGGGGACUGGCUGCUCCCCUGGCCAGAACAUGAGCCUGCCCGGCAAGGCUGCUCUCGUAUUUGGGAAACUAUUCCCGUUUUCUAGAAGAAAGCUCUGCCUAUUACACUCAACAUCCUCUGCUGAAGCCAGGAUACAUGCAAGGAAGCAAGAACCAGAGGCAGCUCAGCUGUUUUACUAAGUCAGUGGAAAAGUAACAGUACAGAUUUCAGGUGCAAUAAGGGAGACGGGGCCGACCGGGCCCCAGCACCUGAGACCCCAUCCCCAUGCGAGACAGCUCCAGUCCAGUCCAGCGUCUGAAGCGUGGUCCACAUGUGUGUGCGUAUAAGCACAUGACCUAUCUGGAUGCCC